GACGAACGCUGGCGGCGUGCUUAACACAUGCAAGUCGAACGGUAAGGCCCUUCGGGGUACACGAGUGGCGAACGGGUGAGUAACACGUGGGUGAUCUGCCCUGCACUUCGGGAUAAGCCUGGGAAACUGGGGCUAAUACCGGAUAGGACUCCUGGCUUCAUGGUUGGGGGUGGAAAGCUUUUGCGGUGUGGGAUGGGCCCGCGGCCUAUCAGCUUGUUGGUGGGGUAAUGGCCUACCAAGGCGACGACGGGUAGCCGGCCUGAGAGGGUGUCCGGUCACACUGGGACUGAGAUACGGCCCAGACUUCUACGGGAGGCAGCAGUGGGGAAUAUUGCACAAUGGGCGCAAGCCUGAUGCAGCGACGCCGCGUGAGGGAUGACGGCCUUCGGGUUGUAAACCUCUUUCAGCUAUGACGAAGCGCAAGUGACGGUAGUAGCAGAAGAAGGACCGGCCAACUACGUGCCAGCAGCCGCUGAAA
RNAcentral lists this ribosomal RNA (478 nucleotides) under uncultured bacterium. RNAcentral's name for it is "partial 16S ribosomal RNA". It matches the Rfam family "Bacterial small subunit ribosomal RNA", at positions 28 to 523 of the family's 1533-position model. The record is from RNAcentral.